CUUUUUUUUACAACAAUCCAUAUUAUAAUUGUCAAGUGUGAUCAGAAAUUUAAAAUGAAUUUAAAUAUCAUAAUAAUAGCUCUAUUUUCGAUGGUUCUGGGAGUUUUUGGGAACAAUGAGGUGGCUCAAAAUCAAAGUGACGUGAAGCGAGUUAACAUUCCCGUUGCUUGUCUUGUGGAAGCAGUGGGCACAUUUGGAGUGUAACUGCAAAAACAGCAAGAACUGCAAAAACAGCAAGAAUCGCAUGACCAAGCCCUAUUAAAGUUACAAAGUAGCAAAGUUAUCCGCUGUGCGGGUGACUUCGCUUGUAAUGUGAUUAAGUGUUUCA
Long non-coding RNA from Cydia amplana, 328 nucleotides. RefSeq lists it as uncharacterized. The transcript has 3 exons. Lineage: Eukaryota; Metazoa; Arthropoda; Insecta; Lepidoptera; Tortricidae. The record is from RefSeq and is a predicted model, not a curated record.